GGGGAAUAUUGCACAAUGGGCGCAAGCCUGAUGCAGCCAUGCCGCGUGUGUGAAGAAGGCCUUCGGGUUGUAAAGCACUUUCAGCGAGGAGGAAGGCGUUGUAGUUAAUAGCUGCAACGAUUGACGUUACUCGCAGAAGAAGCACCGGCUAACUCCGUGCCAGCAGCCGCGGUAAUACGGAGGGUGCAAGCGUUAAUCGGAAUUACUGGGCGUAAAGCGCACGCAGGCGGCUUGUUAAGUCAGAUGUGAAAUCCCCGCGCUUAACGUGGGAACUGCAUUUGAAACUGGCAAGCUAGAGUCUUGUAGAGGGGGGUAGAAUUCCAUGUGUAGCGGUGAAAUGCGUAGAGAUGUGGAGGAAUACCGGUGGCGAAGGCGGCCCCCUGGACAAAGACUGACGCUCAGGUGCGAAAGCGUGGGGAGCAAAC
Molecule: ribosomal RNA, 425 nt
Filed under: uncultured bacterium
Lineage: Bacteria
Description: bacterial SSU rRNA
Rfam family: Bacterial small subunit ribosomal RNA
Source: RNAcentral